AGUGAACGCUGGCGGUAGGCCUAACACAUGCAAGUCGAACGGCAGCACAGAGGAGCUUGCUCCUUGGGUGGCGAGUGGCGGACGGGUGAGGAAUACAUCGGAAUCUACUCUGUCGUGGGGGAUAACGUAGGGAAACUUACGCUAAUACCGCAUACGACCUACGGGUGAAAGCAGGGGAUCUUCGGACCUUGCGCGAUUGAAUGAGCCGGUGUCGGAUUAGCUAGUUGGCGGGGUAAAGGCCCACCAAGGCGACGAUCCGUAGCUGGUCUGAGAGGAUGAUCAGCCACACUGGAAAUGAGAAAAGGUACAGACUCCUUCGGGAGGCAGCAGUGGGGAAUAUUGGAAAAUGGGCGCAAGCCUGAUCCAGCCAUACCGCGUGGAUGAAGAAGGCCUUCGGGUUGUAAAGCCAUGUUGUUGGGAAAGAAAUCCAUCUGGUUAAUACCCGGGUGGGAUGACGGUACCCAAAGAAUAAGCACCGGCUAACUUCGUGCCAGCCGCCGCCGUAA
Molecule: ribosomal RNA, 506 nt
Filed under: uncultured bacterium
Lineage: Bacteria
Description: partial 16S ribosomal RNA
Rfam family: Bacterial small subunit ribosomal RNA
Source: RNAcentral